UACGUAGGGAGCAAGCGUUAUCCGGAUUUAUUGGGUGUAAAGGGUGCGUAGACGGGAAAUUAAGUUAGUUGUGAAAUCCCUCGGCUUAACUGAGGAACUGCAACUAAAACUGAUUUUCUUGAGUGCUGGAGAGAAAAGUGGAAUUCCUAGUGCAGCGGUGAAAUGCGUAGAUGUUAGGAGGAACACCAGUGGCGAAGGCGACUUUCUGGACAGUAACUGACGUUGAGGCACGAAAGUGUGGGGAGCAAACAGG
This 253-nucleotide ribosomal RNA is filed under the name uncultured bacterium. RNAcentral describes it as "partial 16S ribosomal RNA". It matches the Rfam family "Bacterial small subunit ribosomal RNA", at positions 524 to 776 of the family's 1533-position model. The record is from RNAcentral.